CACCCAGCAGCAGCAGCUGGCAGUUCAGCAGGAAAUGCUGCUCGUGCAGAGAGAGGCAGUCGAUGCACUCCGUCGACUUGCAAGCGCUGUAGAGGGACAAGCAGCAGCAAGUGCGCACCAGUCGUCCGCACUGACUUCGCUAGUGCUUCAGCUCGUCGGUGUGCAGAAUCUCCAUCCGCCAGCC
Molecule: unclassified non-coding RNA, 184 nt
Filed under: Ixodes scapularis (black-legged tick)
Lineage: Eukaryota; Metazoa; Arthropoda; Arachnida; Ixodida; Ixodidae
Description: uncharacterized LOC115308935, transcript variant X3
Source: RNAcentral